UGAAGUAUUAAAUUGGUAAUAUGUCUUGCAAAUUUAUGUAGGUAAUUAUGUGGUUUCCCACGCGAAUUUUGAUAACAAUGCAUUCCUUUGUAAUGCAGGGUUAAAAAUAGACAUGUGUAAACAUCACUGCUAGCAGUGUAGCAGACGAUUUCUGUAUACAAGUGGCGAGUUAUUCAUGAAUCUGUUAAACUAUAUAUGUAGUAUAAUAAACACGUGGAAGAGUCUAUUAUUCAUGAUACCUGCUUACAAACAGAGUAGGGGUUAAGCAACUUUAUCAGAUUUAAUCUCGCUGAAAAGUAUUUUCUUCUAAAGUGAAGUAAUUAAACUUCCAUUUCACAUAUAUAUUAAGCAAAGUUAAAUUUUCAUGAGCACGGAUCAAGUAAUUAAGUGCGCAUGUGUGAGGAAAAUAAGUAGUUUCACUUUUCAAUAUACCACCGUUUCUUGCAGUAUGUUUGUUUUUAGUCCUGAUGGCUAAUGUAUAUGGUUUGUAUAGAAGAAUAUUGUUAAUAAAACAAUCAAAUAAAUAAAUAUAAAACAAGUUGGCUUCCUACAAAAAAAAAAUGUAGUUAUAACUUAUUGUCAUUUGUAGAAGGAUGACUGUUUUUCAGAUCUUAAUCUAUAGUUAGCCUUUCAGAUCAUAAUCUAUAGUUAGCCCAAUUGCUAAUGUCUGAUUGUAUCAGCCGGUACUGCCUUAGGAAAAAGAGUGCCAUCCUUAUCCUUUGUAUUGGUUUGUAACUGGAUUUUGAAUUUAUGAUUACUGCUUAGGGAUGAAGAGAAAGUUGCUAUUAUCUCAAUUGUGUUGGAUUGUAUUUGAUUUUGAAUUUAUGAUUAAUGUAUAUUGACUGUGUUCCGCCCAUUUGGCUAUAUGUUCGAUCGUUUCUGAUAAAAAAAUAAGAGGAAGUUAAGAAAGUUGCUGUUAUUUCCAUUGUGUUGAAUGGUAAUUGAUUUUGAAUUUAUGAUUAAUGUGUAUCGACUGUUUCGCCCAUUUGGCUACGUUCGAUCGUUUGUAAUAAAAAAAGAGAAAGUUAAGAAAGUUGCUACCCUGUAAACAUGAAGUCAUUGGGCCAACGACGAAAAACCGUCAAAGGAUAAUCGUUGUUGGGCCAAUGUUGGCCCAACAAUGAUUAAUAAGUAUUGUAAAUACAGCUGUUGGGCCAACGUUGAACCAACGUUGAAUUUCAUUCACAGAUAUCUCUGCAUUGGCCCAGUAUAGAUUUUCAGAGAAAGACUUAUACAGAGAAAACAUCGUUGGCCCAACGUUGGCCCAACGUUGGCCGAUUAAAAAUAAUAAUAUAAUAAUUAUAUAUUUUACAGGUGAAUGUUUUAUCACAAGCUCCUACAGGUAUACACGUUGUGUACGUGUAACAUGCAAUAUUUAAUUAAUAAUUAAAUACUUUUCUGCACCAAUUCGUAAUCAGUUAAAUCUGGGCUAAUUAAACCUAAAAUUUAUCUGCAGCCGUAAUGACAUUUUGAACUAUUUCAAAUCUACUACUUUGAAAAAGAAAGUUAAAAAAAAAGAAAAAAAAAACACUACUAACUCUAUAACAAAUAUCUAAUUUUAUACAUGUUUACAAUAAAUCUGUUGAGUAUUCCAGAACAUGAACUCUCGUUAACCCGGGUUAUGUAAGAAAUCCCAGAACAUGUGGUUGAUUUUGCUCUCUAGGCCAGAUUUCUAGCUGCAUAUAUGUGAAGUAAAGGAAACUGUUAUACAUGUGAUAGAUCUAGAUUUAACAAAAACCCGGUCUACCAGCUAUAAACUGGUGCUGUUCAAGAAAGUAAUAAUGGAGUGCCUAGCAUUGUGGUGCACAAGAAAAAACAAGAAGAAAAAGGAAAGCAGCAACUUCAGUGAGAAAAGAAAACAAUUAAACAGAACUUGGAUAUAUAAUGAGUUAAUAUACAGACAGUUAUUCACUUUUAAAUUAGUGGGAUUUAAUAAGUGACUGUAAAAAGAAACAUAUUUAGAUUUAUAAAAGGCUGGAAUCAAUAAUUGACAUGUUGUAGUGAUGAAAUAUUCUGUUAUAUUUCUUCAGGAAAAUUGCAAACAAACUUUAAAUAACUGUUAGAUUUCUUUUUGUUAAAGUUUAACAAAAUCACAACUAUUUGAAAAUAAAAUACUUACUAAAUAAUGUUAGUUUUAGUCUUUUUUCAGUUUCGUAACCGUUGGGAUAGCGUUGGCCCAACGCUGGACCAACCAUGAUAGACGAAAAAAUGCUGUUGGCCCAAUGGAGGGCCAACGAUAAGUGCAGGAUACCAGUUGUUGGCCCAACGGAGGGUCAACGAUAUGUGUAGGAUUCCAGUCGUUGGGCCAACGGUGUACCAACCGUUGGGCCAACGUUGCGCCAAUUAGCAAAAUGGCGUUGGGCCAACGUUGGAAAUCUUCGUUGGGCCAACGAAGAGUCUGCCGUUGGCCCAACGUUGGGCCAACGCAUGUCUGCUAUCUGGGUAUUAUCUCCAUUGUGUUGGAUGGUACUUGAAUUUGAAUUUAUGAUUAAUGUGUAUUGACUGUGUUCCGCCCAUUUGGCUAUGUUCGAUCAUUUCUAAUAAAAAAAGAGAAAGUUAAGAAAGUUGCCGUUUUCUCCGUUGUGUUGGAUGGUACUUGAUUUUGAAUUUAUGAUUAAUGUAUAUUUACUGUGUUUCGCCAAUUUGGCUAUGUUCGAUCAUUUCUAAUAAAAAAAAGAGAAAGUUAAGAAAAUUGCUAUUAUCUCUAUUGUGUUGGAUGGUACUUGAUUUUGAAUUCAUGAUUAAUGUAAAAUGACUGUGUUUCGCCCAUUUGGCUAUGUCUGAUCAUUUCAAAAAAAAAAAAAAAUGGUUGCCAAGUAUAUCCAUUGUGUUGGAUGGUAACCGGAUUUUGAAUCUAUGAUUAAUGUAUAUUGAUGAACUCUGUUUAGCCCAUUUGGCUGUGUUCGAUCAUUUCAAAAAAAAAAAAAAAAAAAAUAGGUUGCCCAUUAUAUCCAUUGUGUUGGAUGGUAACCAAAUUUUUGAAUUUUUAUUAUUGUACAUUAAGUGAUCAAUGUAUACUGAUGAACUCUGUUUAGCCCAUUUGGCUGUGUUCGAUCAUUUCAAAAAAAAAAAAAAAAAAAAAAAAUAGGUUGCCAAGUAUAUCCAUUGUGUUGGAUGGUAACCGGGUUUUCAAUCUAUGAUUAAUGUAUAUUGAUGAACUCUGUUUAGCCCAUUUGGCUAUGUUCGAUCAUUAAAAAAAAAAAAAAAAAAAAAAAGAAAAAAAAAAAGGUUGCCCAUUAUAUUCAUUGUGUUGGAUGGUAACCGGAUUUUGAUUCUAUGGUUAAUGUACAUUGAUGAACUGUGUUUAGCCCAGUUGGCUAUGUUCAAUCAUUUUUUUAAAAAGGUUUCGGAUUAUAUGCAUUGUGCUGGAUUGUAACCAGAUAUUGAAUUUAUGAUUAUUUUACAUCGAUGAACUGUGUUUAGCCCAUUUGGCUAUGUUCGAUAAUUUCAAAAAAAAAAAAAAAAAAAAGUUUGCCGAUUUUAUCCAUUGUGUUGGAUGGUAACCAGAUAUUGAAUUUAUGAUUAUUUUACAUCGAUGAACUGUGUUUAGCCCAUUUGGCUAUGUUCGAUCAUUUAAUAAUAAUAAAAAAAAUAUAUAUAUAUAAAAAAAUAGGUUGCCGAUUAUAUUCCUUUUGUUGGAUGGUAACAGGAUUUUGAUUCUAUGGUUAAUGUACAUUGAUGAACUGUGUUUAGCCCAUUUGGCUAUGUUCAAUGAUUUUUUAAAAAAGGUUUCGGAUUAUAUGCAUUGUGUUGGAUUGUAAUCGGAUUUUGAAUUUAUGAUUAAUGUAUUUUGAUGAACUUAUUUUAGCCGAUUAUAUCCAUUGUGUUGGAUGGUAACCGGAUUUUGAAUUUAUGAUAAAUGUAUAUUGAUGAACUGUGUUUAGCCCAUUUGGCUAUGUUCAAUCAUAAAAGAAUAGGUUGCCGAUUAUAUCCAUUGUGUUUGAUGGUAACCGGAUUUUGAAUUUAACAUUAAUGUAUAUUGAGGAACUGUGUUUAGCCCAUUUGACUCUGUUCUAUCAUUAACAAAAUGGUUGCCGAUUAUAUAAUUUGUGUUUGGUGGUAAACGGAUGGUUGCCGAUUAUAUACUUUGUGUUGGGAUGGUAAUCGGAUUUUUAAUUUAUGAUUAAUGUAUAUUGAUGAACUGUGUUUGCCCAUUUGGCUAUGUUCUAUCAUAAAAGAGAGAGUUGCUCAUUAUAUUCAUUGUGUUGUAUGGUCAUUAGAUUUUGAAUUCAUGACUAAUGUAUAUUGAUGAACUUAUUUUAGCCCAUUUGUUAAAUGACUUAACGUUGUGUAAUAAGAAGUUUGUUUGUUUCAAGUAUACUGUAUUAGGCCUCUGUUCACAGGGCAUCCACAUCUGCAUUUUAAACAUAUACUUUAUAUCAUAUGUAUUUGUAUAUUGACAUUUAUGUGAAGCUGUGACCAAUUUCUGCCAACCAUUAAUUUAAACGAAAUUAGAUACUAAUUGCUUGCUAUAGUAAAAUUAUUGAUAGUAAAAGUAAUGUAUUCAUACAACUGUCUUGGGUUGUUCUUUUUAGUAUUAUUAUUUCUGUGCCAAGCUAUCUUCAGUAAUGUGUUUUUAAUGAUUACCAUUCAAAACCUGUUACUGAAGGAGCUCUUAUCCUGUUGUAAGGGCCCGCUUUAGCUAAUGUCUUGUUGGUAUAUUAAUAUACUUGUUGCGAUUUAAUCUCCUUUUGGGUCCUUUCAGUUUUGCACAUGGAAGAAGAAGGUCGUUUGCAAAUAGAUGCGAGGGUUGAUUUUGCUUCUUAUCGAAGGAAUCCUCGAUUGUUUAUACUUGCUGAUGUUUAAUAUCCCACCCUCCACUCCCCUUAUUUUGCUUGUGUUCUCCUUUUUCUUUAUAAUUUCAGGUACAUCUUAUGUGUUCAAGUUCAGCCUACACCUUCCUUCCCUUCAGUCGUUACAGCUUCACAUGGAAUAUUGGCAGUUUUCACAUGUUGAUGUAUGGACAUGACAGUGUCUGUUUUCCAGAACUGUGAAAUGUGUAUGUGUCAUAUAUAAACGUUUAACGUAGUCACUGAUUCUGUAUGUCUGUUUUUUGUAUACCUGAUCUCCGCUGAAUUCUGAUCCCAGGUUCGGCGGUUAGGUCAGCCUCCACCAGUAUAUCUUAACGUUGUGUAAUAAGAAGUUUGUUUGUUUCAAGUAUACUGUAUUAGGCCUCUGUUCACAGGGCCUCCACAUCUGCAUUUUAAACAUAUACUUUAUAUCAUAUGUAUUUGUAUAUUGACAUUUAUGUGAAGCUGUGACCAAUUUCUGCCAACCAUUAAUUUAAACGAAAUUAGAUACUAAUUGCUUGCUAUAGUAAAAUUAUUGAUAGUAAAAGUAAUGUAUUCAUACAA
Long non-coding RNA from Mercenaria mercenaria, 5354 nucleotides. RefSeq lists it as uncharacterized. NCBI's taxonomy places the organism in Eukaryota, Metazoa, Mollusca, Bivalvia, Venerida, Veneridae. The transcript has 2 exons. The record is from RefSeq and is a predicted model, not a curated record.